GAGGGUGUAGCUCAGCUGUAGAGUGUGUGCUUAGUGUGCGCAAGGUCCUGGGUUCAAUCCCCAGUACCUCCA
This 72-nucleotide transfer RNA is filed under the name Camelus bactrianus (Bactrian camel). It matches the Rfam family "tRNA". From Rfam's summary of the family: Transfer RNA (tRNA) molecules are approximately 80 nucleotides in length. The record is from Rfam by way of RNAcentral. RNAcentral also lists the same sequence under 2 other names. Lineage: Eukaryota; Metazoa; Chordata; Mammalia; Artiodactyla; Camelidae.